Molecule: small nucleolar RNA, 102 nt
Organism: Otolemur garnettii (small-eared galago)
Lineage: Eukaryota; Metazoa; Chordata; Mammalia; Primates; Galagidae
Source: Ensembl
AUCCUUUUGCAGUUCAUAAAUGAAGACUGGGUGUUGACAUGUGUGUGUGAGAUGUCCUUCCCUCCAAUUUUGUUACAGUGUCAGCACAUUACUCCUCUGAUG